This 497-nucleotide ribosomal RNA is filed under the name uncultured bacterium. RNAcentral describes it as "partial 16S ribosomal RNA". It matches the Rfam family "Bacterial small subunit ribosomal RNA", at positions 28 to 507 of the family's 1533-position model. The record is from RNAcentral.
GAUGAACGCUGGCGGCGUGCCUAAUACAUGCAAGUCGAGCGAACGGACGAGAAGCUUGCUUCUCUGAUGUUAGCGGCGGGCGGGUGAGUAACACGUGGAUAACCUACCUAUAAGACUGGGAUAACUUCGGGAAACCGGAGCUAAUACCGGAUAAUAUUUUGAACCGCAUGGUUCAAAAGUGAAAGACGGUCUUGCUGUCACUUAUAGAUGGAUCCGCGCUGCAUUAGCUAGUUGGUAAGGUAACGGCUUACCAAGGCAACGAUGCAUAGCCGACCUGAGAGGGUGAUCGGCCACACGGGAACUGAGCCACGGUCCAGACUCCUACGGGAGGCAGCAGUAGGGAAUCUUCCGCAAUGGGCGAAAGCCUGACGGAGCAACGCCGCGUGAGUGAUGAAGGUCUUCGGAUCGUAAAACUCUGUUAUUAGGGAAGAACAUAUGUGUAAGUAACUGUGCACAUCUUGACGGUACCUAAUCAGAAAGCCACGGCUAACUACGUG